UACGGGGGGGGCAAGCGUUGUUCGGAAUUACUGGGCGUAAAGGGCUCGUAGGCGGCCAACUAAGUCGGAUGUGAAAUCCCCAGGCUUAACCUGGGAACUGCAUCCGAUACUGGAUGGCUUGAAUCCGGGAGAGGGAUGCGGAAUUCCAGGUGUAGCGGUGAAAUGCGUAGAUAUUGGGAAGAACACCUGAGGCGAAGGCGGGUUGCUGGGCUGACACUGACGCUGAGGCGCGAAAGCCAGGGGAGCAAACGGG
Molecule: ribosomal RNA, 253 nt
Filed under: uncultured bacterium
Lineage: Bacteria
Description: partial 16S ribosomal RNA
Rfam family: Bacterial small subunit ribosomal RNA
Source: RNAcentral